Molecule: long non-coding RNA, 391 nt
Filed under: Anas platyrhynchos platyrhynchos (common mallard)
Lineage: Eukaryota; Metazoa; Chordata; Aves; Anseriformes; Anatidae
Description: lncRNA (ENSAPLG00000016633.1)
Source: RNAcentral
UAUCAACCUCUCCAAAUAAGGACUUGAAACAGUUGUUGAAUAUUUUCUGAGUAAUUAUUUUUACAAUUUCAUCAUGGCCUGUCCCAUUGGGGAGAGGACAGAUAAAUAAGUGAAGUCUGAAAAGGUAUCAAGCAGACCAUUAGAUCAUGAGGAAAACAGACUUUCCUACUGCUCUAUCUGCAGGUCAGCUUCCUCUCUCUCUCAUAGCAACAAAAACCUGGCUACCUCUGAAGUGGAUGUGUUAAAUGGGAGGGAUUUCACAUCAUCUCGUCUCUUCAUCUUAUAUGCACAAAAUGCCACAGUUCUGCUCAGAAUAUGUUUUUCUGCAACAACCAUUUUGUGUGUGAUACUAAUCAAUUUGCUAUUAAUGACCACAGCUACUCAAUAAAUA